GGCGCUGGCGAAGGCGGCGUCAAGAUAGCAUUUUGCAGCCGAGCCGCGCUAAUUCGGAUUUUGCUUCUAGAGAGGAAGAAAAGUCGAUUAAUUUGUGCAUAGAUAUAUACGGAUGGAGACAAAAGUAAACAGAUUUGAUUUAGUUCUGGCUCCUUUGAAAACACAGUCAAAUACUACUAGAUGAAAAUUUGAUGCAAAACUUGCAACAGGAAGAAUGAAAUGACC
RNAcentral lists this long non-coding RNA (225 nucleotides) under Oryza brachyantha (malo sina). RNAcentral describes it as "long non-coding RNA (OBRA_LNC001436)". Lineage: Eukaryota; Viridiplantae; Streptophyta; Magnoliopsida; Poales; Poaceae. The record is from RNAcentral.